UUUUCGAAACAUUCGCUACGAAAUAUGUGGUGCUCACUUUUUUUCUCUUUGCACGUUUCGUGUAGAUGAACUUGAUGCUGAAGAGGACGAUAGAGAACCGGUCGAUGGAUAGUCAGUGAAGUCGUCAAUGACAACGAAGAUGAGGAAGACGGUUCUUCAAGAUGGAAGUUGAAGUGAGGAAGAUGCUGCUAUUUUUGUUCAUGAAGAUGUCAUUAGUACUUAAAGCGGAUUUAUAUUUGUUUCCCUAUAUGAACAUUGAGAGUCAAGUUGCCAGGUUUCUCUAUAUAUUCACGUGUUUAUGAAGUGAUGCAAGAAUGGAUGAAUUUGAGUUUUGACUUCCUGGUAGUCUCUCUUGCCCCCCUCUUGCUGUACUUUGUAUAUAGCUAUCUCUGCGUGUAUAGGGCUUGAGUGUAUAUGCAUCGAUACUAGCGGAUGCAAUCCUAUCAGUUUGUAUGCAUACUUCCAUUGCUUUACUUAUUCCUUGCAGUCGUAUGUGUUUAUAUUUCUGUAGCAAGAAAUAGAAAAUAUACCCUACGUUAAUGAAAGCAUGGGUUAUCGAAAUUGUAUAAUCUAUUCUGCUAUGAGUUACUUAGAAAUAAACAUUAUACGAGUCAUGUUCAAAAUUUGUCUACAUCAACAGCCACAACUCAUUG
Long non-coding RNA from Rhododendron vialii, 653 nucleotides. RefSeq lists it as uncharacterized. NCBI's taxonomy places the organism in Eukaryota, Viridiplantae, Streptophyta, Magnoliopsida, Ericales, Ericaceae. The record is from RefSeq and is a predicted model, not a curated record. The transcript has 3 exons.